GUGGGGAAUUUUGGACAAUGGGCGCAAGCCUGAUCCAGCGACGCCGCGUGGAGGACGAAGGCCUUCGGGUUGUAAACUCCUUUUGGAGGGGAAGAAUAAAUUGACGGUACCCUCAGAAAAAGCCACGGCUAACUACGUGCCAGCAGCCGCGGUAAUACGUAGGUGGCGAGCGUUACUCGGAAUUACUAGGCGUAAAGCGUAUGUAGGUGGUUAGAUAAGUCUAUGGUGAAAUUUCCUGGCUUAACUGGGAAGGGACAUAGAUACUAUCUGGCUUGAGUGUGGGAGGGGGAGACGGAAUUCCUGGUGUAGCGGUGAAAUGCGUAGAUAUCAGGAGGAACACCGAUGGCGAAAGCAGUCUCCUGGCCCAAUACUGACACUGAGGUACGAAAGCUAGGGUAGCAAACAGGAUUAGAAACCCCGGUAGUCC
Molecule: ribosomal RNA, 427 nt
Filed under: uncultured bacterium
Lineage: Bacteria
Description: partial 16S ribosomal RNA
Rfam family: Bacterial small subunit ribosomal RNA
Source: RNAcentral